AAAAUAAUUGUUAUUUUCUUGUUUUAUAAUAAAAUUUAUGUUAAUAUUGAUUUAUAAUAUUAUUACAUUAUCAUGUACAAAAUUAAUUAAUGUGUUAUUUAUGAAAAUAUUAAAAAGUUUAAGUAAGAUUUUGUUAGAUUCUUUUUCAACAGACUUUGUUAUAAUUAAAAAAAAAUCAAAUUUAUUGUUGGUUUAUUAUUAAUGUAACUAAUCAAAUAUGUCAUAUUAAAAAAUAGGUGAAUUUGCUAUCUAGCCAAGAUUGGAGUUAAAAUUAAGUAAAUAGCUUUGAUUUUGACGUUAUUAAAUUGAUAACAUUUUAUACACUUUUUAUCCGGUUAUGUCCUUAUCUGUUCUAAGUUACCGGUGACAAUGGGACCAAAGAUUAACGUCGAUGAGAGCACAUGUCCAAAAGAAAUUGAGAUUUAAUAUAGUCCACGUACGGGUUAACUAUUAUAAGUAAGUGUUCUAUUCCAUUUAUAAAAGUACUACGUCAGAUAGAACAAACAGAACAUCUUCAUACGAAAAAGAAUCAUAAACUCUAAACCUAACCUGCACGCCUAAAUACUAAACCAUAAACUCGAGUCUCUAAACCCAAACCCAAAUGUUAAAUUUAAUUUAAAGUUAUAAUAUUUUAAAGAAAACAACAAAAAUAAUAAAUAUUUAAAUUUUGAACUAUUAUUCUAUACUAUCUAACAUGGUAUGAAUAUUACUCUUGUAAUCCAACCCUAA
This 729-nucleotide long non-coding RNA is filed under the name Brassica napus (rape). RNAcentral's name for it is "long non-coding RNA (BNAP_LNC013627)". Lineage: Eukaryota; Viridiplantae; Streptophyta; Magnoliopsida; Brassicales; Brassicaceae. The record is from RNAcentral.